AACAAACGCUGGCGGCGUGCCUAAACAUGCAAGUCGAACGGACUCUUCGGAGUCAGUGGCGGACGGCUGAGUAACACGUAGGUGACCUGCCCUUGAGUGGGGAAUAACGGUCCGAAAGGAUCGCUAAUACCGCAUACGACCGUUCCGUUUAGGCGGGAUGAGGAAAGCCGAAAGGCGCUCGAGGAGGGGCCUGCGUCCGAUUAGCUAGUUGGUGGGUAAAGGCCGUACCAAGGCGACGAUCGGUAGCNGGUCUAAGAGGAUGAUCAGCCAGACUGGGACUGUGACACGGCCCAGACUCC
RNAcentral lists this ribosomal RNA (299 nucleotides) under uncultured bacterium. RNAcentral describes it as "partial 16S ribosomal RNA". It matches the Rfam family "Bacterial small subunit ribosomal RNA", at positions 29 to 339 of the family's 1533-position model. The record is from RNAcentral.